This 44-nucleotide non-coding RNA is filed under the name Trichobilharzia regenti. Lineage: Eukaryota; Metazoa; Platyhelminthes; Trematoda; Strigeidida; Schistosomatidae. The record is from RNAcentral.
GUUAGCUGACGAGUCCUAAAUAGGACGAAAUGCGUGUGUUAUAC